UGAGAAACGGCUACCACAUCUAAGGAAGGCAGCAGGCGCGUAAAUUACCCAAUCCUGACUCAGGGAGGUAGUGACAAGAAAUAGCAAACCGGGAACCUCAUGGUUUCACGGUAUUGCAAUGAGAACAAUUUAAAACCCUUAGCGAGAAUCAAGUGGAGGACAAGUCUGGUGCCAGCACCCGCGGUAAUUCCAGCUCCACUAGCGUAUAUUAAAGUUGUUGCAGUUAAAAAGCUCGUAGUUGAACCUCUGUCUGGGGCUAGUUUUGGCUUUGGUCAGGCUAGUUCUAGGCAUCCGCCUACAAGACUUAGAGGGCAUUCAGUUGUUCACUAGGAGGAGUAGGCAUUUUACUUUGAAAAAAUUAGAGUGUUUAAGGCAGGCAAUCGCCCGCAUAUAUUAGCAUGGAAUAAUAGAAUAGGACACUUUUCCAUUUCGUUGGUUAUUGGAAUCGUGUAAUGAUUAAUAGGGACAGUUGUGGGCAUUUGUAUUUAAUUGUCAGAGGUGAAAUUCUUGGAUUUAUUAAAGACAAACUAACGCGAAAGCAUUUGCCAAGGAUGUUUUCAUUAAUCAAGAACGAAAGUUAGGGGAUCAAAGGCGAUCAGAUACCGUCCUAGUCUUAACUAUAAACUAUUCCGACUCAAUGUUUGACUGGCUUAUAUAACCAGUUGAGCGUUGUAUGAGAAAUCAAAGUCUUUAGGUUCUGGGGGGAGUAUGGUUGCAGAGCUGAAACUUAAAGGAAUUGACGGAAGAGCACAACCAGGAGUGGAUUCUGCGGCUUAAUUUGACUCAACACGGGGAAACUUACCAGGUUAAAACAAUGGUGGGAUUGACAGUUUGAGAGCGCUUUCUUGAUUGGUUGGGUGGUGGUGCAUGGCCGUUCUUAGUUGGUGGAGUGAUUUGUCUGCUUAAUUGCGUUAACGAACGAGACCUUAACCUGCUUACUAGACUGGCGAUCAUCAAUCGUUAGCUCUUCUUAGAGGGACUUUGGUUGUUUUAACUCCAAGGAAGUUUGAGGCAAUAACAGGUCUGUGAUGCCCUUAGAUAUCCUGGGCCGCACGCGUCAUACAAUGACUAGUUCAGAAAGUUUUCUCCUGACCCGAAAGGGGAUGGGUAAUCUUGAUAAUACUAGUCGUGUUAGGGAUCGAUCUUUGCAAUUAUAGAUCUUGAACGAGGAGUUCCUAGUAAGUGCGGUUCAUCAGACCGUACUGAUUACGUCCCUGCUCUUUGUACACACCGCCCGUCGCUUCUACCGAGUGGGUGGUCCGGUGAGAUAAUUGAACUUCGCAGGUAACUGAGAGGAAAGAUUAUCAAACCUAUCCACCUCGAGGAAGAAGAAGUCGUAACAAGGUU
RNAcentral lists this ribosomal RNA (1347 nucleotides) under metagenome. RNAcentral's name for it is "SSU rRNA". It matches the Rfam family "Eukaryotic small subunit ribosomal RNA", at positions 397 to 1801 of the family's 1831-position model. The record is from RNAcentral.